This 247-nucleotide ribosomal RNA is filed under the name uncultured bacterium. RNAcentral describes it as "partial 16S ribosomal RNA". It matches the Rfam family "Bacterial small subunit ribosomal RNA", at positions 523 to 769 of the family's 1533-position model. The record is from RNAcentral.
AGACGGAGGGUGCAAGCGUUGUUCGGAAUCACUGGGCGUAAAGCGCGUGUAAGCGGUUCGAUAAGUCGAAUGUGAAAGCCCGAGGCUCAACCUCGGAAGUGCAUUCGAAACUGUCGGGCUUGAGUACGGGAGAGGGAAGUGGAAUUCCUGGUGUAGAGGUGAAAUUCGUAGAUAUCAGGAGGAACACCGGUGGCGAAGGCGGCUUCCUGGACCGAUACUGACGCUGAGACGCGAAAGCGUGGGGAGC